RNAcentral lists this long non-coding RNA (244 nucleotides) under Glycine max (soybean). RNAcentral describes it as "long non-coding RNA (GMAX_LNC001826)". The record is from RNAcentral. Lineage: Eukaryota; Viridiplantae; Streptophyta; Magnoliopsida; Fabales; Fabaceae.
AGGGACAGUGGUGGCAGAUUUUCUGACUUUAUGAAAAAACUGACGAAAGAAACAAUAUGGUUUUGAGACAGAGUGGUAUGAGGUUUCGACUUUAUGAACAAUGUGUUUUAUCCACAAGAGGGAAAAAUUAAAUGAUGGAGUGGAGGAUGAUUUUGUGUGAUUUUAUGGAAAACGGAUGAAAGAAACAAGAUAUUUUUACAAUAAGAUCGAGGGACACAAUAAUGAGUGAUUUUGUGACUUGAUG